UGAAACAGAUACGUUUGGUCCUGGAGAUAAUGAUGAAAUCCAGUUUGAUGAUAUUGGAGAUGACGAUGAAGACAUUGAUGAUAUCUAAAUUGAACAUGGUUUCUGAGGAUUGUUCUGCAAUUUGGAUUUUGGCUAUCACCUGUUAAAAGAAGAUCUAAAACAUCAUUUAGUAUGAAUGUAUUUGGUUAAGACAUGCUGAUUUAUUUUCAUUGUUUAAAAGUAUUAUAUUUCUCUAAAAACUGAUUUAGCUGAAUUAUUUAAGUGAAAUUUUAUUGUUUGGAUAUAAUGGAACUUAGGGGCAAAGACUAUAAUACCUGCUGUUAAACAGUAGAGAGAAACGAAGAAGAAAUGUCUUUUCCACUGUGACUAUUUAUUCUAGUUAAUAGGUGUUUUGAAUAAAUUGCCUUACCAUCAUAGGUUUCGGUAAACCAUGUUCCAGCUAGUAUGUUAACAGAAUCUUUAUGUAUAUUCGAGUUACCUAGAUGUUCUGUAAGAUUUUUGAUAUAAUUUAAGGAAGGUGGAAGUCCACACUUAAAGUCAAGAAAGGGGGCUAUUUUCAUAUUUACGUAGCCAUAUGUAUUUCAUUCUAAGCUUGAUAACUUACACAUUACUUUCAUCAUUUUAUGUUGCCACCAUCAUAAAAGAAAAAGCGUUUCCAAAUUGCAGUUUUAGGACACCAGUUUAAAUAACAUUUUUCAAUUUGUAAUGUUAGUAGUUGCAAAAAUUCAGGGCUAGGAAACCUGGUUAUCUUUAUAUUUGAAGUAUUGACAUAUAAGUUGGUAGUGUUUUUACUUAAUAUUUAUAGAAAAUUUUUCAAGUAAGAUAGCUCUGAUUGUGAAAUAAGUAGGAUAUUUCUUACACAGGAAAGGUUAUGUUAACAUAUGUGAUUUAUUGUCAGAGUCAUAUGCAUUGUAACUCAUAAUUUUGGACUUUAUGAGCAAUUAAAUUACAAUGUAUAAUGAAAAACUAAUUUUAUAAUAACUUCCAUAAGGUAAGUUUUUCUUACACUAUCCCUUAGCUGGGGUAACGGGAACCACCACUGAGAAAUAUAGUAAAAUGUGUUGUUGAGUGUGUUUUUC
Long non-coding RNA from Lynx canadensis (Canada lynx), 1079 nucleotides. RefSeq lists it as uncharacterized. The transcript is spliced from 2 exons. The record is from RefSeq and is a predicted model, not a curated record. Lineage: Eukaryota; Metazoa; Chordata; Mammalia; Carnivora; Felidae.